GGACGAACGCUGGCGGCGUGCUUAACACAUGCAAGUCGAACGGAGAAUUAUUCGGUAAAUUCUUAGUGGCGAACGGGUGAGUAACGCGUGGCAACCUGCCCUCAGAUGGGGACAACAUCCCGAAAGGAGUGCUAAUACCGAAUACGAUCACGCUGCCGCAUGGCGGUGUGAUGAAAGAUGGCCUCUAUUUAUAAGCUAUCGCUGAAGGAUGGGCCUGCGUCUGAUUAGCUAGUUGGUGGGGUAACGGCCUACCAAGGCGAUGAUCAGUAGCCGGUCUGAGAGGAUGAACGGCCACAUUGGGACUGAGACACGGCCCAAACUCCUACGGGAGGCAGCAGUGGGGAAUAUUCCGCAAUGGACGAAAGCCUGACGGAGCGACGCCCGCGUGAACGAAGAAGGCCGUGAGGUUGUAAAGUUCUUUUCGGGAGGGGGAACAACCGUGGCAGGGAAUGGCCGCGGGAUGACGUGAAUCCCGGAAUAAGCCCCGGCUAACUACGUGCCAGCAGCAGC
This 510-nucleotide ribosomal RNA is filed under the name uncultured bacterium. RNAcentral describes it as "bacterial SSU rRNA". It matches the Rfam family "Bacterial small subunit ribosomal RNA", at positions 27 to 518 of the family's 1533-position model. The record is from RNAcentral.